RNAcentral lists this long non-coding RNA (376 nucleotides) under Manacus vitellinus (golden-collared manakin). Its description in RNAcentral is "lncRNA (ENSMVIG00005006723.1)". Lineage: Eukaryota; Metazoa; Chordata; Aves; Passeriformes; Pipridae. The record is from RNAcentral.
GGUGGGACAGGACUCCGAGGUCCUCCUGGGCUCGACGGUCCCGAGGGAGAGAAGGGAGAUCCAGGACCACGAGGCAUGGAUGGACCUGCUGGUGCUGCAGGAUUAGAGGGACUCGCUGGAGAUGAUGGAGUGAAGGGAGAUGGUGGCAAACCCGGUCCAGUGGGCUCAGCAGGGGCUCAGGGGCUGGCAGGUGCCCCCGGGCUCCGGGGAUACACCGGGCACGAAGGAGCCAGAGGAGUGACGGGCACCAAGGGAAAGCCAGGCCGGCAGGGCCUGGUGGGUGCAAAAGGGGAGCCAGGCAAGCCAGGGAAACCAGGACAAAUGGGCUCUCCGGGACAAGCUGGUCCUAAAGGAUGGAAAGGUCGCAAAGGAGAAA